This 210-nucleotide ribosomal RNA is filed under the name uncultured bacterium. Its description in RNAcentral is "partial 16S ribosomal RNA". It matches the Rfam family "Bacterial small subunit ribosomal RNA", at positions 524 to 730 of the family's 1533-position model. The record is from RNAcentral.
UACAGAGGGUGCAAGCGUUGUUCGGAAUUAUUGGGCGUAAAGCGCGUGUAGGCGGCUUUGCAAGUCGGGUGUGAAAGCCCUCAGCUCAACUGAGGAACGUGCGCCCGAAACUGCAGAGCUUGAGUGCCGGAGAGGGUGGCGGAAUUCCCCAAGUAGAGGUGAAAUGCGUAGAGAUGUGGAGGAACACCGGAUGGCGAAGGCGAAGCUCCU